GUCUAGGGGAGAGCCUGUAGGUACUCCAUUGUCUGAUGGAUCUGAGAACGCUGUCUGGGCUUGGUACCAAGAGCUGGUAUUUCACAGCAGCGACCGCCUCACAGACGAGCUGUGGGAAGCAGGAGGGAGACUCUCUCUUAGGGUGCCACUACUAUGGAGACACAGCUGGGCUGAACAAGAUUUGCUUCAAACGACAACAAGAGAGACAGAAAGUAUCUGGUUCAACCGCUGCCCGAGCAGGCAGGCACCAGAAGAGCUAGCAGCCAAUCCGGCCAUGCUCGAAGCCAGCUCUGCAGCUCAGCCAAUCAGUGACAUCAUUGCUUUCUUUAGCUUGCCCAUGGUGAUGUGAAGAUGAGAAGAAAUAGCAAGGCCCAACCAGUUCUUCAUCUGGAGACAGUUCAACGUUCUGCAAACCAGAUCUUCAGGAAUUUUACUGGGAUAAUUAUCCAAAUAAAUUGCAAGCAUUCUAUCCAAAUGGAGCUCUUUCUGAGAUGAAGAGAAUUCUCAAUGUCAAGAUUUGAACAAGAAGAGAAUGGAAUACACAAUAUGGACAUCCAUAAAAAUUCAUCAGAGAGCAUUUUACUACUGAGCUGCAAAGGGAAAAACUUAAAAUGGAUAUGAAAAGUGAAGAAAGUGAUCAUAGGAGAAAACCAUUUCAGAUAUCUGUGGAUAUCUCUCCAGAACUUCAUGUAUAUUUGGAUAAAAGAAAGCUUCGGGCUUUGUAUUUCUUGAAAACCAAGAAAAUUGUAGAAGUUGGAUGCCUGAGGUUUGGAUAAAUUACUGCUUUCACAAGUCAGAUUCCUUUAAAACUGGUUGGGGAUUUUGAGAAUGCAUCCAAUGUAUCUGCUCCUGCUCUAGUGAAGAAGUCCUCGGCUGCUGCUACUCAGGACAAAAUCAUCAUGGUGCAUGGAAGAAACCAGUAAAAGGACCCGUAAAUAUUAGAUUUUUCUGACUUGUUCACUUGCCUCUUCCUCCUUCCCAUAAGUGUACUCUUUUUUUUAGGGUCUAUGUGCAAGCAGUUUUUUUUAAAUAUAAUCAUAAAAGUUGCUUUUUCAAAGGAGUCUAAAAUGCAUUUCAUAUUUGUCAUUGUUUUCUUUAAAUCUAGAACUCUUUUGGAAGGGAUAUGUAACUUGAGAUGGCAUUGUUAUAGUUUGGAAACUGUAUUCAUCUGCUUCUUCAACUCAAAAUAACAGUGCCUUCAGAUCCUGAAAA
Molecule: long non-coding RNA, 1212 nt
Organism: Homo sapiens (human)
Lineage: Eukaryota; Metazoa; Chordata; Mammalia; Primates; Hominidae
Gene: MIR99AHG
Product: mir-99a-let-7c cluster host gene
Source: Ensembl